GAUGAAGAACGUAGCGAAAUGCGAUAAGUAAUGCGAAUUGCAGAAUUCCGUGAGUCAUCGAAUCUUUGAACGCACAUUGCGCCCUUUGGCAUUCCGAAGGGCAUGCCUGUUCGAGCGUCAUUUAUCAACCCUCAAGCCCGGCUUGCGGUUGGGUCCCGCCGUGGGCGACCACGGCGGACCCGAAAGGUAAUGGCGGUGCCCGUGGGGCCCUGGACGCAGCGAGCUUCUCGGCACGCGUCCCGGCGGUCCCCGGCGCCGUCUCCACCAAUCCACCACGCAGAUUGACCUCGGAUCAGGUAGGGAUACCCGCUGAACUUAAGAAUAUCAAUAAGCGGAGGA
This 339-nucleotide unclassified non-coding RNA is filed under the name soil metagenome. RNAcentral describes it as "partial contains 5.8S ribosomal RNA, internal transcribed spacer 2, and large subunit ribosomal RNA". The stretch from base 1 to 120 matches the Rfam family "5.8S ribosomal RNA", at positions 35 to 154 of the family's 154-position model. The record is from RNAcentral.